GAUGAAGAACGUAGCGAAAUGCGAUACGUAAUGUGAAUUGCAGAAUUCAGUGAAUCAUCGAGUCUUUGAACGCACAUUGCGCCCCCUGGUAUUCCGGGGGGCAUGCCUGUCCGAGCGUCAUUGCUGCCCUCAAGCCCGGCUUGUGUGUUGGGUCUCGUCCCCCUUCCCGGGGGGACGGGCCCGAAAGGCAGCGGCGGCACCGCGUCCGGUCCUCGAGCGUAUGGGGCUUUGUCACCCGCUCUGUAGGCCCGGCCGGCGCUUGCCGAUCAACCAAAACUUUUUUCCAGGUUGACCUCGGAUCAGGUAGGGAUACCCGCUGAACUUAAGCAUAUCAAAAGCGGAGGA
RNAcentral lists this unclassified non-coding RNA (345 nucleotides) under soil metagenome. RNAcentral's name for it is "partial contains 5.8S ribosomal RNA, internal transcribed spacer 2, and large subunit ribosomal RNA". The stretch from base 1 to 120 matches the Rfam family "5.8S ribosomal RNA", at positions 35 to 154 of the family's 154-position model. The record is from RNAcentral.